RNAcentral lists this unclassified non-coding RNA (337 nucleotides) under soil metagenome. Its description in RNAcentral is "partial contains 5.8S ribosomal RNA, internal transcribed spacer 2, and large subunit ribosomal RNA". The stretch from base 1 to 120 matches the Rfam family "5.8S ribosomal RNA", at positions 35 to 154 of the family's 154-position model. The record is from RNAcentral.
GAUGAAGAACGUAGCGAAAUGCGAUAAGUAGUGUGAAUUGCAGAAUUCAGUGAAUCAUCGAAUCUUUGAACGCACAUUGCGCCCCUUGGUAUUCCAUGGGGCAUGCCUGUUCGAGCGUCAUUUGUACCUUCAAGCUCUGCUUGGUGUUGGGUGUUUGUCUCGCCUCUGCGUGUAGACUCGCCUCAAAACAAUUGGCAGCCGGCGUAUUGAUUUCGGAGCGCAGUACAUCUCGCGCUUUGCACUCAUAACGACGACAUCCAAAAGUACAUUUUUACACUCUUGACCUCGGAUCAGGUAGGGAUACCCGCUGAACUUAAGCAUAUCAAUAAGCGGAGGA